Molecule: ribosomal RNA, 218 nt
Filed under: uncultured bacterium
Lineage: Bacteria
Description: partial 16S ribosomal RNA
Rfam family: Bacterial small subunit ribosomal RNA
Source: RNAcentral
CGUACUCAGUUCGGAUUGUAGUCUGCAACUCGACUACANGAAGCUGGAAUCGCUAGUAAUCGCGAAUCAGAAUGUCGCGGUGAAUACGUUCCCGGGUCUUGUACACACCGCCCGUCACACCAUGGGAGUCAGAAAUGCCCGAAGUCAGUGACCCAACCGAGAGGAGGGAGCUGCCGAAGGUGGAGCUGGUAACUGGGGUGAAGUCGUAACAAGGUAAC